Gossypium arboreum is the source of this 416-nucleotide long non-coding RNA. RefSeq lists it as uncharacterized. Lineage: Eukaryota; Viridiplantae; Streptophyta; Magnoliopsida; Malvales; Malvaceae. The record is from RefSeq and is a predicted model, not a curated record. The transcript has 2 exons.
AAUAGUUGGUAUAUAUGUGUAAUAGCUAUAAGAUAUUUUAUGUUAUAGCUAUUACACAUGUUAAUUUAUAUUUUUUUAUAGGUUAAUAAUAAUAUAAUAUAGUAUAAUGAAUAAAUAAUAAUGAGUAAAGAAACAUAGAAAGAGUUACAGAGAGCAAACGUGAGAAAGAAAGAAGGAAAGAAAGAAAGAAAAAGAAAAGGGAAAUUUGAGGAUUAAGGCCCUAAAGUUUAAUUGUAGCAAACGUAGCACCGGAUACGUCAUCAAAGAAGGGAAAAGAGAAAGUGAACGAAGAUAUCGAUUAAAUUCGAUAAAUAGUGGUUUGUAUUUCUAUAAACCGAGCUUAAUCGUUAUUGCUAUAUUUGAUAUUUAUAUUGUAUGAAAAUGUGAAUGAGGUAAGUAUUUUUACCAUAUUGAAA